UUUAUAUUCCGUUUCGACAUGCGGGGCGACCUAGUCGCUUCGGUAAGCACAACCCACCUUAACUUACUCUCCGAUUGCUCGUAGUCACUUGCAAUCGGUCGCCCGCGGCGCCCGCCGCUCGGCUCGACUCAAUUCACGCGCGACCACCGAACGACCUCCGAUUCGCGAUUCGGAAAUUAAAGGUCUUCGGUUUCUUGCUACGAUACUCGGAAUCCGAUCCCGCGAUU
RNAcentral lists this long non-coding RNA (227 nucleotides) under Ananas comosus (pineapple). RNAcentral's name for it is "long non-coding RNA (ACOM_LNC043878)". Lineage: Eukaryota; Viridiplantae; Streptophyta; Magnoliopsida; Poales; Bromeliaceae. The record is from RNAcentral.